CAAAGGAGAAAUCCGAUGGGAGAUGGACUCGCGGCUGAUUAGAUAGUUGGCGGGGUAGAGGCCCACCAAGUCGACGAUCAGUAGCCGGACUGAGAGGUUGAACGGCCACAUUGGGACUGAGACACGGCCCAGACUCCUACGGGAGGCAGCAGUGGGGGAUAUUGCACAAUGGGGGAAACCCUGAUGCAGCGACGCCGCGUGAGGGAAGACGGUUUUCGGAUUGUAAACCUCUGUCUUUGGGGACGAAUUGAGACGAUACCCAAGGAGGAAGCUCCGGCUAACUACGUGCCAGCAGCCGCGGUAAUACGUAGGGAGCAAGCGUUGUCCGGAAUUACUGGGUGUAAAGGGAGCGUAGGCGGGAUAGUAAGUUGAUUGUUAAAACUAUCGGCUCAACUGGUAGAUGCGAUCAAAACUGCAAUUCUUGAGUGAAGUAGAGGCAGGCGGAAUUCCUAGUGUAGCGGUGAAAUGCGUAGAUAUUAGGAGGAACACCAGUGGCGAAGGCGGCCUGCUGGGCUUUAACUGACGCUGAGGCUCGAAAGUGUGGGUAGCAAACAGGAUUAGAUACCCUGGUAGUCCACACUGUAAACGAUGAUUACUAGGUGUGGGUGGACUGACCCCAUCC
RNAcentral lists this ribosomal RNA (622 nucleotides) under uncultured bacterium. RNAcentral's name for it is "bacterial SSU rRNA". It matches the Rfam family "Bacterial small subunit ribosomal RNA", at positions 202 to 842 of the family's 1533-position model. The record is from RNAcentral.